GGGGAUGUUUUGGUUUUGACAGCAUUGACCUCGGACAGUAAGCACGUCGGGCGUAGAUGGCUGGCCCGUUAAUCCCAGUCUUCAAGCCAUAACUGGCAACUACAACUACUCAUACGCUUGCUAGUCUCCAAGAGAUUGAGCAUUAAUCGCUUCAGCCUAGGCUGCUGAACCGACGUAUAUCCCUCCAGCUUUAGGCCGGUUCAGUCUGGAUCAAGGGGUAUCAUCAAAACCGGAUGCGGAAGGAGGCCUCCUCCAGUCCUUCCUAAGUUUUCAGAGGAUAAGUUGCGCUGAGCCUGUCUUUCGGCAUUGCGCUUCCGACAAUCAAAGAAAGAAUAAGCGUGUAGAAAGCUGUUUGGAGCGGUGUUUGGACGAGGGUUCGAGUCCCUCCAUCUCCACA
RNAcentral lists this transfer-messenger RNA (397 nucleotides) under pig gut metagenome. It matches the Rfam family "transfer-messenger RNA". Rfam says of the family: Bacterial tmRNA, also known as 10Sa RNA or SsrA, is named for its dual tRNA and mRNA-like properties. Its role is to liberate the mRNA from a stalled ribosome. To accomplish this part of the tmRNA is used as a reading frame that ends in a translation stop signal. The record is from RNAcentral.